CCCCAUUCUCCACAUUCACUCGUAAAGAUUGUGAUUCAUGUGUGUCUACAGCACCAAAUGAAGCAAAAGCAAAAGCCAAAAGCCCCGUGAAGACCCCCGGGAUUCGUGGAUCUUGCCUCGAGUCUUCCAGCUUAUUUAUUCUCCUCUCUCUCAGAAGGAAGGCAGAGUCUUUUUUUUUUUUUUUUAGGGGAAGAGCAAGGAUUC
This 204-nucleotide long non-coding RNA is filed under the name Citrus sinensis (sweet orange). RNAcentral describes it as "long non-coding RNA (CSIN_LNC005416)". The record is from RNAcentral. Lineage: Eukaryota; Viridiplantae; Streptophyta; Magnoliopsida; Sapindales; Rutaceae.